AACUGACAAAUCAAACAAUAAUUUCGCAGUAGCUGCGUAAUAGCCACUGCAUCGCCUAACAGCAUCUCCUACGUGCUGUUAACGCGAUUCAACCCUAGUAGGAUAUGCUAAACACUGCCGCUUGAAGUCUGUUUAGAUGAAAUAUAAUCAAGCUAGCAUCAUGUUGGUUGUUUAUUGCUUAGCAUGAUGCGAAAAUUAUCAAUAAACUACACACGUAGAAAGAUUUGUAUCAGGACCUCUGGACGCGGGUUCGAAUCCCGCCGUCUCCAUUG
RNAcentral lists this transfer-messenger RNA (272 nucleotides) under Staphylococcus epidermidis. RNAcentral's name for it is "partial transfer-messenger RNA". It matches the Rfam family "transfer-messenger RNA", at positions 89 to 374 of the family's 374-position model. From Rfam's summary of the family: Bacterial tmRNA, also known as 10Sa RNA or SsrA, is named for its dual tRNA and mRNA-like properties. Its role is to liberate the mRNA from a stalled ribosome. To accomplish this part of the tmRNA is used as a reading frame that ends in a translation stop signal. Lineage: Bacteria; Bacillati; Bacillota; Bacilli; Caryophanales; Staphylococcaceae. The record is from RNAcentral.